UGAAGAUAUGUUUGCGCACAAACUCAGGACCCUGGGUGGAGAGAGGAGAGGGGUCAGGACAGCCAGGUAAUGGUUGCCUGGCUCCCAGGCCCGACCUGGAAGGAUUUCCAGCUCCCAUCUGCCAGUCCACACGGCCAUUCUCCAACAUCCCAGACCUUGAAUUUCUUGCCACUGAGAGGACACAGCCACUUAUCCUUGCCCAGUUCCUGCGUGUUGGAGGUGACGAACUUCUCCACUUCCUGCUCUGGGUCUUUGCGCCCCAUCUUCUGGGCCUCUUCCUCUGACAGCGACUCUCGCACACUCAGCAACGGCGUGAGCUUCUCCUCAAACGUCUUCUGCCACUCCAGCACUGUGGUUUGGGAACAGAGGAAGGAAGGUUGGGAAGGGAGCCGGAAGGAAGGAUGGUGGCAAGGGUCUGGAGGAGCGAGGCCAAGGGCAGCCGGCGACAAAGGGGAACCUGGAGCUCACCUUCCCCGUGACUGAUGCGGUUGGGUGGCAUGGGCCCCCGAACGUGGAUGAUGCCACAACGAUUGGGCAUCUCGUCCUCGUUGGGGUACUCACAGGUGUUGUAAUAAUCCAAGGAAUGCACAAUGCGCAGGUAAAGGAGGAGCUUGUCCAAGACCUAAGGGAAGUGAGUGUGAGUGCUCAGCUCCUGCCCUCACCACCUGAGCCCCCACGUGCCCCACGCUGCCACUGGCACCUUGAUCAACUUCUCAUCCCGCUCCACGUUGAUCUCUGCCGGGUUCCCUUCCUUAGGAGGCUCCUCAGGAGGGGCGCCCCCGCUGCUCCCCAGCAGCUCCUCCUCUUCGGCGCUCACUUCCUCGAUCAGGUAGUCGGUGAUAUUCUUCAAGAUCGGGUUUUGUGAGGGCAGGCUCUGGUGGGAGGAAGACAGGCAAGUAAGGCAGAGAAGGACCUUCAGGGGAGGUAACCUGAGACCUACCACAAGUGAAAGAGCGAGGGAACAAGAGUUCACUGGACAUAACUGGCGCCUUUUGCCCCCUUGA
This is a long non-coding RNA of Rhinopithecus roxellana (golden snub-nosed monkey), 1004 nucleotides long. RefSeq lists it as uncharacterized. Lineage: Eukaryota; Metazoa; Chordata; Mammalia; Primates; Cercopithecidae. The transcript has 2 exons. The record is from RefSeq and is a predicted model, not a curated record.